UACGGAGGGGGCUAGCGUUGUUCGGAAUUACUGGGCGUAAAGCGCACGUAGGCGGCUUUGUAAGUUAGAGGUGAAAGCCCGGGGCUCAACUCCGGAAUUGCCUUUAAGACUGCAUCGCUAGAAUUGUGGAGAGGUAAGUGGAAUUCCGAGUGUAGAGGUGAAAUUCGUAGAUAUUCGCAAGAACACCAGUGGCGAAGGCGGCUCACUGGUCCGGUACUGACGCUGAGGUGCGAAAGCGUGGGGAGCAAACAGG
This 253-nucleotide ribosomal RNA is filed under the name uncultured bacterium. RNAcentral's name for it is "partial 16S ribosomal RNA". It matches the Rfam family "Bacterial small subunit ribosomal RNA", at positions 524 to 776 of the family's 1533-position model. The record is from RNAcentral.